RNAcentral lists this ribosomal RNA (440 nucleotides) under uncultured bacterium. Its description in RNAcentral is "partial 16S ribosomal RNA". It matches the Rfam family "Bacterial small subunit ribosomal RNA", at positions 338 to 795 of the family's 1533-position model. The record is from RNAcentral.
CCUACGGGAGGCAGCAGUGGGGAAUAUUGCACAAUGGGGGAAACCCUGAUGCAGCGACGCCGCGUGAGUGAAGAAGUACUUCGGUAUGUAAAGCUCCAUCAGCAGGGAAGAAAAUGACGGUACCUGACUAAGAAGCCCCGGCUAACUACGUGCCAGCAGCCGCGGUAAUACGUAGGGGGCAAGCGUUAUUCGGAUUGACUGGGUGUAAAGGGAGCGUAGACGGCAAGACAAGUCAGAAGGGAAAGCCCAGGGCUCAACCCUGGGACUGCUUUUGAAACUGCCGGGCUGGAGUGCAGGAGAGGUAAGCGGAAUGCCUGGUGUAGCGGUGAAAUGCAUAGAUAUUAGGAAGAACACCAAUGGCGAAGGCGGCUUACUGGACUGUAACUGACGUUGAGGCUCGAAAGCGUGGGGAGCGAACAGGAUUAGAUACCCGAGUAGUC